AUUGAACGCUGGCGGCAGUCCUAACACAUGCAAGUCGAGCGGAUGAAGGUAUCUUGCUCCUGGAUUCAGCGGCGGACGGGUGAGUAAUGCCUAGGAAUCUGCCUGGUAGUGGGGGAUAACGUCCGGAAACGGGCGCUAAUACCGCAUACGUCCUGAGGGAGAAAGUGGGGGAUCUUCGGACCUCACGCUAUCAGAUGAGCCUAGGUCGGAUUAGCUAGUUGGUGGGGUAAAGGCCUACCAAGGCGACGAUCCGUAACUGGUCUGAGAGGAUGAUCAGUCACAAUGGAACUGAGAAACGGGCCAGACUCCUACGGGAGGCAGCAGUGGGGAAUAUUGGACAAUGGGCGAAAGCCUGAUCCAGACAUGCCGCGUGUGUGAAGAAGGUCUUCGGAUUGUAAAGCACUUUAAGUUGGGAGGAAGGGCAGUAAGUUAAUACCUUGCUGUUUUGACGUUACCAACAGAAUAAGCACAGGCUAACUUCGUG
RNAcentral lists this ribosomal RNA (484 nucleotides) under uncultured bacterium. RNAcentral describes it as "partial 16S ribosomal RNA". It matches the Rfam family "Bacterial small subunit ribosomal RNA", at positions 30 to 507 of the family's 1533-position model. The record is from RNAcentral.